CCUGAGGAAUAAGCAUCGGCUAACUCCGUGCCAGCAGCCGCGGUAAUACGGAGGAUGCAAGCGUUAUCCGGAAUGAUUGGGCGUAAAGCGUCCGCAGGUGGCAAUGUAAGUCUGCUGUUAAAGAGUGAGGCUCAACCUCAUAAGAGCAGUGGAAACUACAUGGCUAGAGUGCGUUCGGGGCAGAGGGAAUUCCUGGUGUAGCGGUGAAAUGCGUAGAGAUCAGGAAGAACACCGGUGGCGAAAGCGCUCUGCUAGGCCGCAACUGACACUGAGGGACGAAAGCUAGGGGAGCGAAUGGGAUUAGAUACCCCAGUAGUCCUAGCCGUAAACGAUGGAUACUAGGCGUGGCUUGUAUCGACCCGAGCCGUGCCGUAGCUAACGCGUUAAGUAUCCCGCCUGGGGAGUACGCAGGCAACUGUGAAACUCAAAGGAAUUGACGGGGGCCCGCACAAGCGGUGGAGUAUGUGGUUUAAUUCGAUGCAACGCGAAGAACCUUACCAAGACUUGACAUGUCGCGAAUCUCCUUGAAAGGGGAGAGUGCCUUCGGGAGCGCGAACACAGGUGGUGCAUGGCUGUCGUCAGCUCGUGUCGUGRGAUGUUGGGUUAAGUCCCGCAACGAGCGCAACCCUCGUUUUUAGUUGCCAGCACUUCGGGUGGGCACUCUAGAGAGACUGCCGGUGACAAACCGGAGGAAGGUG
Molecule: ribosomal RNA, 698 nt
Filed under: Nostoc verrucosum UCFM_NVH
Lineage: Bacteria; Bacillati; Cyanobacteriota; Cyanophyceae; Nostocales; Nostocaceae
Description: bacterial SSU rRNA
Rfam family: Bacterial small subunit ribosomal RNA
Source: RNAcentral